UGCUGGAGGUAUCAGAAGUGCGAAUGCUGACAUGAGUAGCGUUAAAGGGGGUGAAAAGCCCCCUCGCCGUAAGCGCAAGGUUUUCUACGCAACGUUCAUCGGCGUAGAGUGAGUCGGCGCCUAACGCGAGGCAGAGAUGCGUAGCUGAUUGGAAACAGGUCAAUAUUCCUGUACCGAUCAAUAGUGCGAUGUGGGGACGGAGAAGGUUAGCUCAGCCAACUGUUGGAUAUGUUGGUUCAAGCCUGUAGUCGUGCCCGGUAGGCAAAUCCGCCGGGCUAAGAUGAG
RNAcentral lists this ribosomal RNA (285 nucleotides) under Bacillus sp. SRB_28. RNAcentral describes it as "partial 23S ribosomal RNA". It matches the Rfam family "Bacterial large subunit ribosomal RNA", at positions 1271 to 1560 of the family's 2925-position model. Lineage: Bacteria; Bacillati; Bacillota; Bacilli; Caryophanales; Bacillaceae. The record is from RNAcentral.